AUACGGAGGAUCCGAGCGUUAUCCGGAUUUAUUGGGUUUAAAGGGUGCGCAGGCGGGAGAUUAAGUCGGCGGUGAAAUUUUGCAGCCCAACUGUGAAAGGGCCUUCGAAACUUGUUUUCAUUAGUGUAGAUGAAGUAAGCGGAAUUUUUGGGGUUAGCGUGAAAUGCAUAGAUAUCACGAGGAACUCCGAAUGCGCAGGCAGCUUACUAAACUACUACUGACGCUCAGGCACGAAGGCGUGGGGAUCAAACAGGAUUAGAUACCCUGGUAGUCCACGCAGUAAACGAUGAUUACUAGCUGUUUGCGAUACAAUGUAAGCGGCUGAGCGAAAGCGUUAAGUAAUCCACCUGGGGAGUACGUUCGCAAGAAUGAAACUCAAAGGAAUUGGCGGGG
This 393-nucleotide ribosomal RNA is filed under the name uncultured bacterium. Its description in RNAcentral is "partial 16S ribosomal RNA". It matches the Rfam family "Bacterial small subunit ribosomal RNA", at positions 523 to 918 of the family's 1533-position model. The record is from RNAcentral.